AUAAUAUUUAAAGCGCCAGGACUUAAAGAUAGGUUUAUCUUUAAGUUGACGAGGACAGGGUUUAUCGAAGUAUCGGCGGGUGCCCUGCGGUGAAACUACCACCGAUAAAGAUUCCUACAAAACCUGUAAGCAAUUACAGGAACAAAGGGAAUCGGGUAGUUAAA
Molecule: non-coding RNA, 164 nt
Filed under: Caldisalinibacter kiritimatiensis
Lineage: Bacteria; Bacillati; Bacillota; Tissierellia; Tissierellales; Thermohalobacteraceae
Description: GlcN6P sequence
Rfam family: glmS glucosamine-6-phosphate activated ribozyme aptamer
About the family: This entry contains a glucosamine-6-phosphate activated ribozyme that is found in the mRNA for GlmS.
Source: Rfam by way of RNAcentral